UACGGAGGAUGCGAGCGUUAUCCGGAUUUAUUGGGUUUAAAGGGUGCGCAGGCGGAAGAUCAAGUCAGCGGUAAAAUUGAGGGGCUCAACCUCUUCGAGCCGUUGAAACUGGUUUUCUUGUGUGAGCGAGAAGUAUGCGGAAUGCGUGGUGUAGCGGUGAAAUGCAUAGAUAUCACGCAGAACUCCGAUUGCGAAGGCAGCAUACCGGCGCUCAACUGACGCUCAUGCACGAAAGUGUGGGUAUCGAACAGG
RNAcentral lists this ribosomal RNA (252 nucleotides) under uncultured bacterium. Its description in RNAcentral is "partial 16S ribosomal RNA". It matches the Rfam family "Bacterial small subunit ribosomal RNA", at positions 524 to 776 of the family's 1533-position model. The record is from RNAcentral.